Molecule: non-coding RNA, 611 nt
Organism: Pelobates cultripes (western spadefoot toad)
Lineage: Eukaryota; Metazoa; Chordata; Amphibia; Anura; Pelobatidae
Source: the annotation of a GenBank genome assembly
GAUGCUUCAGUCAUAAAAAUACACCUUGGGUGAGACAGUGUUUGAAAUCCAACAGUUCGUCUCUAUGGUCUUCCCUGCUUCUGUACAGGGAGUGAUGGAGGAAAAACCACAGAAACUAACUGUCAGAUUUAAAACACUAUCCGGCCCAAGGUGCGUGCAUAUGGUUCUAAGAUUCUGUCAUAUAUUAAAGGUGGCAUCCCCAUUUGUUAAAGGUGGAGAUGCGUUUUUUUUUGGGGGUUUAAACACAAACUUUAUUUAAAAAUCAAUUGCCUUUAAAUACUUGAUUAAAAGAUUAUUAUUGUGGUCGUAGUCACAGCAACUACUAUCACAAUUAUAUUAAAAAUAGUUUUGAGGUGACAGUAGCCCUUUGAGCAGAAACAAGAUUGAUUCUAUAUGCCUCCCUUACUUUUUUUUUGUUCUUUUUACCUUUGAAAAAAAUAUGCGACCUAUUAAACCUUUCAGCUCCAAUAAACUGUGAUAAUAAUACUGGGUUCACUUAUCCCUGGCAAUUCACAGAGCUUAAAAAGUAUAACGUAACUACUUAUUGGUGACAGUGCUACCUGUAAACUACCGUACCUGACCAUGAUGUGUUAUCACAGACCCAAUAAAAG